GUGGGUGCAACUUUGCUGGGUGAGAGGGCAGCAGGUGGAGCAGAGUCCUUCAGCCCUGAGGCUCCAGGAGGGAACCAGCCCUACUCUGAGGGACAAAGCAGGAGGGAAGGUUAAAGGCAACAGCAGAUGCUAAGGAGCGCUACAGCACCCUGCACAUCUCCACCUCCCAGCUGGAAGAC
Marmota flaviventris (yellow-bellied marmot) is the source of this 179-nucleotide non-coding RNA. The record is from RefSeq and is a predicted model, not a curated record. NCBI's taxonomy places the organism in Eukaryota, Metazoa, Chordata, Mammalia, Rodentia, Sciuridae.